Molecule: long non-coding RNA, 267 nt
Filed under: Elaeis guineensis (African oil palm)
Lineage: Eukaryota; Viridiplantae; Streptophyta; Magnoliopsida; Arecales; Arecaceae
Description: long non-coding RNA (EGUI_LNC058171)
Source: RNAcentral
GCCAAGAAUCAAUUCCAUUUGGUUCUCGUUAAAGACAUGGAUUUGACCAACUAUAACUAUUGUAAUUGAUCUAGAGAAUCCAUGACCUAAUCUAAGGCAACAAUUGAUUAGAUUUAGUCAAUUCUUUAAUUAAGUCCAUCUUUAAUCUAACCUUAGGUCUAACCUAAUUAAUGGACCUAAUUUUCACUAACCCAUUAACCCAAUGUGUUAUGGUUUGUGUCUUAGGUUCUUCAAUUCACAAUCCUAGAAUCUAAUCAAACAACUUCU